CCUACGGGAGGCAGCAGUGGGGAAUUUUGGACAAUGGGCGCAAGCCUGAUCCAGCCAUGCCGCGUGUGGGAAGAAGGCCUUCGGGUUGUAAACCACUUUUGUCAGGGAAGAAACGGCCUUUUCUAAUACAGGGGGCUAAUGACGGUACCUGAAGAAUAAGCACCGGCUAACUACGUGCCAGCAGCCGCGGUAAUACGUAGGGUGCAAGCGUUAAUCGGAAUUACUGGGCGUAAAGCGUGCGCAGGCGGCUUUGCGAGACAGAUGUGAAAUCCCCGGGCUCAACCUGGGAACUGCAUUUGUGACUGCAUGGCUAGAGUACGGUAGAGGGGGAUGGAAUUCCGCGUGUAGCAGUGAAAUGCGUAGAUAUGCGGAGGAACACCGAUGGCGAAGGCAAUCCCCUGGACCUGUACUGACGCUCAUGCACGAAAGCGUGGGGAGCAAACAGGAUUAGAUACCCUGGUAGUCCACGCCCUAAACGAUGUCAACUGGUUGUUGGACGGCUUGCUGUUCAGUAACGAAGCUAACGCGUGAAGUUGACCGCCUGGGGAGUACGGCCGCAAGGGUUGAAAACGUUCGAAAAGUAGUAGUUACGGCGUGUAGACGUAGUCGACGACGGACCACGACGGGAGGGAGG
RNAcentral lists this ribosomal RNA (634 nucleotides) under uncultured bacterium. RNAcentral's name for it is "bacterial SSU rRNA". It matches the Rfam family "Bacterial small subunit ribosomal RNA", at positions 338 to 960 of the family's 1533-position model. The record is from RNAcentral.